This 424-nucleotide ribosomal RNA is filed under the name Verrucomicrobiota bacterium. RNAcentral's name for it is "Verrucomicrobia bacterium partial 16S ribosomal RNA". It matches the Rfam family "Bacterial small subunit ribosomal RNA", at positions 355 to 776 of the family's 1533-position model. The record is from RNAcentral. Lineage: Bacteria; Pseudomonadati; Verrucomicrobiota.
UGAGGAAUAUUGGUCAAUGGACGCAAGUCUGAACCAGCCAAGUAGCGUGCAGGAUGACGGCCCUAUGGGUUGUAAACUGCUUUUAUAUGGGGAUAAAGUGGGGAACGUGUUCCCUUUUGCAGGUACCAUAUGAAUAAGGACCGGCUAAUUCCGUGCCAGCAGCCGCUGUAAUACGGAAGGUUCGGGCGUUAUCCGGAUUUAUUGGGUUUAAAGGGAGCGUAGGCCGUUUGGUAAGCGUGUUGUGAAAUGUAGGAGCUCAACUUCUAGAUUGCAGCGCGAACUGUCAGACUUGAGUGCGCACAACGUAGGCGGAAUUCAUGGUGUAGCGGUGAAAUGCUUAGAUAUCAUGAAGAACUCCGAUUGCGAAGGCAGCUUACGGGAGCGCAACUGACGCUGAAGCUCGAAGGUGCGGGUAUCGAACAGG